Molecule: ribosomal RNA, 633 nt
Filed under: Priestia aryabhattai
Lineage: Bacteria; Bacillati; Bacillota; Bacilli; Caryophanales; Bacillaceae
Description: bacterial SSU rRNA
Rfam family: Bacterial small subunit ribosomal RNA
Source: RNAcentral
GCAGUCGAGCGAACUGAUUAGAAGCUUGCUUCUAUGACGUUAGCGGCGGACGGGUGAGUAACACGUGGGCAACCUGCCUGUAAGACUGGGAUAACUUCGGGAAACCGAAGCUAAUACCGGAUAGGAUCUUCUCCUUCAUGGGAGAUGAUUGAAAGAUGGUUUCGGCUAUCACUUACAGAUGGGCCCGCGGUGCAUUAGCUAGUUGGUGAGGUAACGGCUCACCAAGGCAACGAUGCAUAGCCGACCUGAGAGGGUGAUCGGCCACACUGGGACUGAGACACGGCCCAGACUCCUACGGGAGGCAGCAGUAGGGAAUCUUCCGCAAUGGACGAAAGUCUGACGGAGCAACGCCGCGUGAGUGAUGAAGGCUUUCGGGUCGUAAAACUCUGUUGUUAGGGAAGAACAAGUACGAGAGUAACUGCUCGUACCUUGACGGUACCUAACCAGAAAGCCACGGCUAACUACGUGCCAGCAGCCGCGGUAAUACGUAGGUGGCAAGCGUUAUCCGGAAUUAUUGGGCGUAAAGCGCGCGCAGGCGGUUUCUUAAGUCUGAUGUGAAAGCCCACGGCUCAACCGUGGAGGGUCAUUGGAAACUGGGGAACUUGAGUGCAGAAGAGAAAAGCGGAAUUCCAC